This 289-nucleotide long non-coding RNA is filed under the name Mytilus galloprovincialis (Mediterranean mussel). The record is from RNAcentral. Lineage: Eukaryota; Metazoa; Mollusca; Bivalvia; Mytilida; Mytilidae.
GUAUAUGAAACUGUUUUCUGAUCCAUAGCACUGGGUUACCUUCAGUUCUGCUUUUGUCUUGUUUCAGAACUUUAAAAUAACUGCUCAAUUAUUUAUACGAAGCACCUAGGUUACCUUACAAUCUGUUGUUUUGAAAAUAUUUUGUUUAUUAUUGUAUAUAUUUAAGUGUUUUGUAUUUUUUAUAGUUGCAUUGAGUGUGCCAAAAAAUAUAUUGUAAAAACUUGAUGUUCGUGACGUCACAUACACUAUGAAAACUUGAUGUACGUGACGUUACAUACCAAACAAUGAC